This 253-nucleotide ribosomal RNA is filed under the name uncultured bacterium. Its description in RNAcentral is "partial 16S ribosomal RNA". It matches the Rfam family "Bacterial small subunit ribosomal RNA", at positions 524 to 776 of the family's 1533-position model. The record is from RNAcentral.
UACGGGGGGUGCGAGCGUUGUCCGGAAUCACUGGGCGUAAAGGGCGCGUAGGUGGUUUGAUAAGGGUGUGGUGAAGGUCCGGGGCUCAACCCCGGAUCUGCCGUGCCGACUGUCAAACUCGAGGACUGUAGAGGCAGACGGAAUUCCGGGUGUAGCGGUGGAAUGCGUAGAGAUCCGGAGGAAGACCGGUGGCGAAGGCGGUCUGCUGGGCAGUUUCUGACACUGAGGCGCGACAGCGUGGGGAGCAAACAGG